AUUUAUUCCCUACCAAUAAAGUAUAGAAUUUGGAGUCCUGUUUCCCAUGAAUCUUUGCAUGACAUCCAGCAUCUGGGCAUUUUUGUUCUGAAAGAGUUUUUGAUGACAGAAUUUUUUAAACUUGUAUUUUUCACAGGUUCUGGUUAAUUUUUCAUGUCUGAGAUAACAAAUGAGGUUGAACACUGCCUGUACAUUUAACAGCCAUUUGUCUCUCCGCUGAGACCGGUCUUUCCCUGUCCCUGCUCUCCCCUCCAUCGCAGUGUUUGUCUUUGUGCUUUUGAUUCACACGAGCUUCUUAUAAAUGAAAGAAAUUAAUCCUUGCACGUCGUACACGCGUGGUUUUUUUCAUAGGGAAAUGUUGAAGGUGGCCAUGGGAUUGGUGCCACAGAAUGCUGUCUUCGCUGUCUAUUAUUUCCACAGUUAGGGCUUCGUUCAAUUAGAGAUCAGUGCAAUCUAGGCUUGUAAUUUCUUGUAAUGUUUUAUGGAUUGUCAUGCAUUUAACCCAUCUGGAAUUCAGUGCAUCAUUCAUUCAUUUAUUAAUUUCUCCCUUUAACAAACAUUUAUUUUGCUCCAAUUAUGCAUCAGACCCUUAAUGUGAAGUGAGAAUCUUAACUUGAUAUUCCCCUCAACUGACUUAGUUAUAUUUCUCUAUGAUUACUUAUCGCGUCCUCAAUUGCUUCUUUAUUACAUUUUAAAAUUUAUAUUAAAUUUAUUAAAUAUUAACAUAUGCUGCAUGGAUGUUUAUCUCGUCGAUACGGUCGCUUAUUUGUUUUUAUUAAAUAUUAAAUAAAUUUGCUAAUUGUGCUGUUUAUUCGAUAGCACAUAAAUUUAAUAAUUGAAUCUACAUGACACUUGACACGCUUGGCGCUGUUUCUUAUUCAUUUGCCUUUGAUUCCCACAGGUCCUCCUCCUUCUGAUGACUGCAGCUCUAAGUUUCAUUUGAAAGACAGACAGGCAUUGCUUCUUCUCAUUGCUCAUCUAGACUUUGUUGAAUCGAAAGCCAUCGGAGUUAUUUCAUCAGGGAAUUUAUACGUACAGAAGGUUAGAAGUCCUGGGUGGAUGCUGUCCUGUCUUCUCUGCGUGACACAGGGUGGCAUAUCCACAUAUGCAUGCCCAAGAUCACACCCGAGCUGGGUCUGUUCGCUUCUAUGGGUAUUUCCACCAGGCCCUGUUGCUGUCCCUUUAAUUUACACAGCUCAUCUGGGAUGCGGGAUUGUUUAUUAACUUGUUAUGAAUUAUGAAUUCGGUCUCCGGGUCUCAGGUUUUUGUCUUUGGUGAUACAUAGUCACUGGCCCAGUUUCUGUAGAAAUCUGGAACCACUUUGAUGUGGGGUGGCAGUGUAGCAGGUGAGGCACCGGCCCCUCCACACGCCUUUGAAAUAGGCAUAGGGCCCUAGAGGUGGGGGAAAUUGGGGCGUUCAAACGAUCUCCGUUUCAUCUCAGAUAACCCCUUGAAUGAUGCAAGAUUAAGCAGAAUCUGUCACUCGCAUCAACUUGAGAGUGUUUUUCUAUAAACAGAUAGCUUUUCAUUCUUGCGCUCACCGAAUUCCACAUCUUUACCAUCUGGCCUUAUGCUCUUUGGGGUUGAGCGUUUCUUCUUUUCCUUUGUAUAUCAUGAUUUUUCUUCACUCUCUUUUCCGGUUUUAUGCUCCUGGUUUGUGCAGCCUUGCAAAUUUCUUGGUUCCCUUUUGCGAAACAAAUGAUGUUGUUAUUAUUUUGCGGUUGCUUUCUUCUCCGUAGUUUGGGAGACUGUCUCAACCGAAGACAUCCCGGCUCUAAUCUGAGGGAAGCUUUGCCCUCAGGCGAUCCUGAAUUGACAGGUGGGAAGUGCGUCAGUCUGGGCUUGCAGGCUGGGCUACACUUCUCACCAGGGUCCAGAGUCUCAGUAAGAUCUCGACUCCAGAUGUGUCCAUGAUGUUUGGUAUCGGCCUCACAUCUUCCCCAGGGCUUAGAGAAAGAGACGUCCCAGAAGACUAGAAAGACCACGCAGAGGAGCCGGCCUCCUUUUUCUGUGAAUUCAAAGAAAUGGCGAGUUUUCUCUUGACUCUUUGACACACUCACCGCAUCGUGUGAACCCUGGGCUGGCGUGGGUGUCGGGAGCUUCUGAGAACACAGGUG
RNAcentral lists this long non-coding RNA (2117 nucleotides) under Rattus norvegicus (Norway rat). Its description in RNAcentral is "partial HAfT 5 cufflinks 00024199". The record is from RNAcentral. Lineage: Eukaryota; Metazoa; Chordata; Mammalia; Rodentia; Muridae.